UAGGGAAUCUUCGGCAAUGGGGGGAACCCUGACCGAGCAACGCCGCGUGCGUGAAGAAGGUUUUCGGAUCGUAAAGCUCUGUUGUUAAGGAAGAACGAGUGUGAGAAUGGAAAGUUCAUACUGUGACGGUACUUAACCAGAAAGGGACGGCUAACUACGUGCCAGCAGCCGCGGUAAUACGUAGGUCCCGAGCGUUGUCCGGAUUUAUUGGGCGUAAAGCGAGCGCAGGCGGUUAGAUAAGUCUGAAGUUAAAGGCAGUGGCUCAACCAUUGUAGGCUUUGGAAACUGUUUAACUUGAGUGCAGAAGGGGAGAGUGGAAUUCCAUGUGUAGCGGUGAAAUGCGUAGAUAUAUGGAGGAACACCGGUGGCGAAAGCGGCUCUCUGGUCUGUAACUGACGCUGAGGCUCGAAAGCGUGGGGAGCGAACAGG
RNAcentral lists this ribosomal RNA (429 nucleotides) under Bacteroidota bacterium. Its description in RNAcentral is "Bacteroidetes bacterium partial 16S ribosomal RNA". It matches the Rfam family "Bacterial small subunit ribosomal RNA", at positions 355 to 776 of the family's 1533-position model. The record is from RNAcentral. Lineage: Bacteria; Pseudomonadati; Bacteroidota.